AGACAGUUUGUGGCCUUCCAGGUAUUGAUUCAAUCUCCGCUGAUUUAAAAGGUAAAAAAUUGACAGUAAUCGGAGACGUUGAUCCAAUUAUCGUAGUUAAAAAGUUGAGGAAACGCCAUUACACAAAGAUAAUCUCCGUUGAAUGAGCAAAAAAACCUGAACAGAAGAGUAGAAGGAAUAAGAAGAGAAGGAAAGAGACGUUAGAAAAAAAAAAAACAAAA
Molecule: unclassified non-coding RNA, 221 nt
Filed under: Hevea brasiliensis (rubber tree)
Lineage: Eukaryota; Viridiplantae; Streptophyta; Magnoliopsida; Malpighiales; Euphorbiaceae
Source: RNAcentral